Felis catus (domestic cat) is the source of this 3293-nucleotide long non-coding RNA. RefSeq lists it as uncharacterized. The transcript has 2 exons. The record is from RefSeq and is a predicted model, not a curated record. Lineage: Eukaryota; Metazoa; Chordata; Mammalia; Carnivora; Felidae.
UCUCUCUCUCUCUCUCUCUCUCUCUCUCUCUCUCUCUCUCCCCCCUUGCUGACUUGUGCCCUCUCUCUCUCAAAUAAAAAAUUUAAAAAAGGGAGACUUUCUAAUCUGAACCAAAGACAUAUCAGAACUCAGGCAAGUAUAAGGUGUACGUUGCACACGGGAAGCUAGCACCUGCUUGAACACUCCACCAGAAGGUUUCCCAUCUUGGGGAAAGCAUUUCAGAGUUCACGAAGCUCUGUUAAAUGCAAGGGAUGGAAAUCACAUUCAGGUUACGAGCCAGAGACUGGUAAGAAGAGUCGUGUCUUAAACUUCACGAGGCCAGAAAACUACAAUUAGGCUCACUUUCAAAGUGCCCCUUGUCACCAAGGUUCCUUUACACGGAGCAUACAUCGUGCUUCCAUGUACACAAUAAUCAAAACCCAAACGGACACGCAGUAACAAGGGUUACGAGAAGGUGGAGAAAUUCGAGCCCUUCUACAUUGCUGGUGGGAUUAUCAAAUGGUGCCGCCACUUAAGAAAACAAUUUGUUGGUCCCUCAACGUGUUAGACAUAGAGUUACCUUGUGACCCAGCAAUUCCCCUCCUGCCGAAGACAAAUGAAGACGCAUCCACGCAGAGACUCACACGUUAAUGUUCACAGUAGCAUCAUUCGUAGUAGCCCAGAAGGGAGAAGAACCCAACUGUCCAUCACCUGCUAAACAAACAGGUAUGUCUAUACAGUGGAAUACUACCAGGCCAUGAAAAGGAAUGGAGUCCUGAUACAUCUGUGGAUGAACCCCUAGCACAUUAUGCUGAGUGGAAGCAGCCAGACCUAAAGGCCACAUAUUGUAGGACUCUGUUUAUAUGAGAUAUCCAGAAGAGGCGCAUCUGUAAACAUGGAGGACCAGGGGCCGGGGGAGGGGAGAGGGGAGCGAUUGCUAACGAGGACAGCAUUGCUUUUAUGCUUCUCUUGGGUGGGCCUUCCUUUUAGCAAACGGUAGGCAAAAUGGCUAUACUUUCCCUUAGCUCCCGGGUCACAAUGGCCUCAUUCUUCCACAAUUUUCUUGAAGGGUUUUAGAAUGUCAGGUAAGUGUAUGUGUAGGUUUGUAAACGGUAAGUAAGCGAGCCAGGGGCUUUGAUGGGAUGAGAUCCAGACUAUCGCAGCAGCAUCCUUCAGAGUCCCCUUGGUCUCAUCACAUUGUGGGGUGGGCGUGGCCCGUUAGGAGAGAGGAUGCCAGCUGCCUGAUGGCGAAGGGGUAUCAAGUCUGUGGCAGGUGCCUCCAGAACAAUGGCUAAAAGCGGCCCUCUGGAGCCAAAGACAAACGUCAAUUUCUCCACUUUUCCCAUUAGGUCAUGGAGCUUGAUAACACUGACCUGAGAAAAAGAAUGUUGUCAUGUUCCUCACGACCACACGGCAUAAGUUACAGAGACUCUAGGGUUUCAGUUAGGAAGUUCUGAUUCUACAGGCCAUCAGCGCUGGGUACAGUUUAAUUCUUUUUUUUUUUAUUUUUUUAAUAUUUAUUUUUGAGAGAGGGGGAGACAGUGCAGGCGGGGAAGGGGCAGAGAGAGAGGGAGACAGGCUCCAGGCUCCGAGCUGUCAGCACGGAGCUUGACGUGGGGCUUGUACUCACGAGCCGUGAGAUCGGGACCCGAACUCAAGAGUCAGAUGCUUAACCGACUGAGCCACCCUGGCGCCCCAAGAUUCUUUGAUUUCUAAAAAUGACUGGAUACUCAAUACUGUCAUUGAGUACAUAUGAUGAUGGCAUUUUUAGCUUACAUUUGAUCUUGCUUUAUGCCUCCAUUUAUACUAUCAGAGUUCGCAUUUAGAAAUGACACAGUAGUCUAGGAAUGUGAAUUAUUGAGGCGCCUGGGUGGCUCAGUCGGUUAAGCGUGCGACUUCGGCUCAGGUCAUGAUCUCACAGUUCAUGGGUUCGAGCCCCAUGUGGAAUUCUGCGCUGACAGUGAGGAACCUGCUUGGGAUUCUCUGUCUCUCUCCCUCUGUCUCUCCGCCCCUACCCUACUCUCUCAAAAAAUACAAUAGAAUAGAAAAGGAAUGUGAAUUAUGAGGGAAUUUCUUCUAGUCUCAGACCCAGUGCACACAUAAGGUCUAGGCCUUCAAUUUGAUUUGCAAAUUGGACUCUGAGGGGUUGGGGUGGGCAGGGGUGACUUUUCUGGAGGCCCUGUGUGGCUCUGAACCUACAGACCUUCCAAGCAGUAAGCCCUCUGUCAACUUCUGCUUGCAAGUGCUGUUGUGGUCUUGGGGAUGUUUGCAACGGCUGAGGGUUCUGGCAAAAGCUAAGUUUCUGGACAGUCCCACAGAAGAUACUCUAAUAUCCCCAAGCGUGUGUGGGGUUCCUUCCAGGGAGGACAGUGAGGUGCAAAUACGAGUUAUUACAGAGUACUUCUGUACCAGAAUUAAUUAAUCCUCCAUUGCUUUACAAGCUUAAGGAAGCGUUUUGUAUAGUUUUUAUUAAAAAAAAAAAAAAUCAUGCUCAUGCCAGAAGUACCUAAAAAGCUUGAACAGCCAGACCUCAUUUAACAAGUCACAAUCCAAGGUCACAAAUACAGUGUUGAGUGAAAGAAGCCAGGCACAGAGGAACACCUACUGCAGGAUCCCUGUUUUGAAAAACAGGCAGAAUUGAAGCAACACUUUUGGGGGCCCAUGCUGAAGGAAAGCCCUGUAAAGACAAGUAAGGAAGUGAUUCUGUUAUCUAUCCUCCACCAGGUGGUGCCGACGGGGUUAUUUGCCCCGUGCCAAUUCACUGAGCUGUACACUUCGACUUUGUGUGCUUUUCUGUAUAGAUGUGAUUCUUCACAAUACAAAUAGCCUUAACAACGCUAACCCAGUGAAAAAUGUCUCUUACUAACUUAGCAUAUAGAGACUUCCAGUUGUGUUUAUAUGCACGGUGACGUGCACGGUACUCUUUCGUAAGUUCCCGUUUGGGCUCGAUCCAUGGUCAACAUCUUCCUUUUGGUUAUGUUUGAAUGGGAACAAGAACGGAUGUAAUCUUGAAGACUAAGCCUGUGAAAUGUUAGAAAGGAGGUGGAGGAACUGGAGCCUUCAUGCAUUGCUGGUGGGAAGGCAGAAUGGUAUAGCCACUUGGGGAAACGGUUGGGCGCUUUCUGAAAAGUUCAACAUCUACGUAUCGUACACCCCACUCGUCCCACUCCGAGGGACCUACACGAGAGAAACGGGAAAGUAGGCCUGUACAAAGUGUUACAUAGAAAUGUUUAGAGCAGCCCCAUAAUAGCCCAAACUUGGAGCCAACCCAAAUGUCCAAAACCGAUGGAAGAAUAAACAUUUGUCCAAUUGAA